CAUACAGAGGACAAGGCCAUGUCACAACAAGUGGAGACUGGAAUUAUGCAGCCACAAGCCAAGGAACCUCUGGAACCACCAGAAGCUGGAAAUGGCAGUCAUUGACAUUUAUUGAAGCUGUGCUAUUUUCAAAAUGCUGAGGAAGUAUUGGGAGGAGAUGAAGCAAGGAAUUUUUAUCCAGGUGUACAGAGAAAAAAAGAAAGGAAAGAUGCAGACAAAGAAAAAAGGAUGAAAACUUCCAGAUGACAUGUGGGUCCAGACAGACCCUGGCAGAAAGCCCAGCUCUUGGAAAACUGGCCCUCGCCCCAGGAUUUGUAAACAGCACAAAUUCACUGAUGAAGAUGCAGGAGAGGUGAAGAAUCUGCUUUGGCCAUCUCAGCAGCACUGCCCUGCUGCCCUUAACCCCAACCCACUGGACUGGCUGAGAAUAUAUUCCACAGUCCCUUCUUAACAUCCUUCCAGGUUGUAAAGAUAUUACAUAUUUAUCAAAACAAUUAGUGACUUAUAAGAAGUCUGAAGAAGACAGAAGCAAAUACGCAAACAAAUGCAGAGUGCAGUAGCACCUCAGGGCAGAGAUAAUUCUGCCUGUGACAGGAAAAGAUCUUUCAACAGCAGUUUGACAGCUCCUGGUGACAGAUCCCCACCACAGUAUCCUCCAGCAGACCCCUUGGUGGUAUACCUGGGACUAUUUUUUGAAAGCCAAACUCUGGAUACUUCUGUAUUACCUAAACUCCGGCACCUCUUACAUUCCACAUUGGCACAGUUCCGAGGUCUAAGUUUGUUUUAAUUCUCUACAAUCUUUCCUGUUCAAGGAGUAGGUAACUAGAAUGAACACAUUCCCAUUUUAAGAUACAAAUGGGACCUUGGAGGUAGAAAGACGUCCAUAUUGUUUGUACCGUAGUGUGAUUUUAAUUAGCUGCUCUUCUCUUGGUUCAACUCAACUUACUAAAUUGGAUUGGCUGUGAAGGGAAUGGAGCAGUAAUUUGGGUUCAUGCAUUUGUGAAGCAGGAUUGGGGAGUGCCUCAAUGCAGACUGUAGCUGGUUAUAACAUUAUUGGAGGGAAACCAACAAAAACGAGGGAAAUAGUAUCUGCGCCUUCUUUGCAUUCUGCCUAAAGUCUUAGGAUCACAGUGUCCUAAUUGGAUCAUUGAAAACCUAUGAUGGCUUUGAUUUGGCAGGUAAUCUAGCUGAAUCUUUAACACAUUAACUUCCAGACCCCUCAUCAUUCCAGCUGGGAAGAGAAAAGAACUUCAGGAACAAAUUUUAAAAAUGAAAUUUGUUAAAUCAUGAAAAUUCCAAUGAAGUUUUCUCUUUUAUCUUCCUAGCUCAUGUUUGAAGAGCCCAGCUAAGUUGUUGAGCUAACUCGUAUUUCAAGCUCAGGGCUGCAUUCAUUUUGGUUCCCAUCACGAAUUCUAAAGGCAUUUGAAAUUUCCCCUUGGCUCCCUGGGACUAUUUAGAAGAGUAUCUCAGUUGUUUGUAGGGUUUUCUUUUGUUUAAACAUUUUCAGAGUCAGACAAAUUCUUUUAUGAACACAUAUUCACUAUUCAAGUGGAUGUUUCUCUACAGUAAAAUAAAAUUAAUAAAUCAUACAAAGUGGGUAUUUAAGCUUAUGCUCCUAAUCUCCUCACGUGCCACUCAAUGUGCACAUGAGGUUUUUAAAAAUUAGUGUCUCAAUUAUAUUCUAUGAUAGAGAGAACAGAGGUGUUGCUAGCAUGACUGCUCAGCACUCUCCCCUCAUGAGCUCAGGCAGCUGUGUGAUUUGUGAAGGUGGCUGCUCAUCAGUCCAUCUGUGGCUUAGGGCACUGGGCUGAGCUGUAAAGGCAGAGUAUCAUUACAGAUUAUUUUUUAUUAUCUGAAAUAAUGGCAAUAAAGUGGAAGUGAAGGUGAAGAAACCCAGCACUCCUAGAGCUAUGAAAAAGCCAUAAGGCUCUGGCCUCAAGGGGAAACCCAGUUAAUUUAAAGAAGGAAUCUCUAAUCAUCCAGUUGGAGGAUUCAAGGGUACUAGGUGGUUUUCAGGCUCCAGGAAGAAGGUCCCUGCCACUGAUGACCUCAUGCCAAGAGGAAAGAAAGCUGCUCUGUAGACCUUCUUUAUAAGAGUACAGGUUGGAACCAUACUAAGAGCCUGGCUUUGUUAAACCCAACACAUACUACAAUAUUUUUGAUGAUUUAUGUGGGUAAAUAGGAUACAUCCAGAAAAAAUCUGGCACAUAUUUUUCAUGACCUCAGAAUCUCAAAAAGGCAACUUUAGGACCAGGUCUUGUGGUGAUUCUUUUUUCUUUUUGGUCAUUUUUUUCAUGUCAAUAAAAAGGUAAAAUGUAGAAUGUAGUUAACGUUAAUCAGGUAGAUAAAGGAUGCAAACUAGGGGUGGGGUGAGGCUGUGCAUGAUUCCGUCUAUGCAAAUCAGUCAAGGAUUUACACUGGAACUACAAAACUCGAUUUCAGUGGAAAAAGCAUGAGUGGACUCUGUAGGCACCAGGUAGGCAGAACUC
This 2489-nucleotide long non-coding RNA is filed under the name Homo sapiens (human). RNAcentral's name for it is "HSALNT0303691". The record is from RNAcentral. Lineage: Eukaryota; Metazoa; Chordata; Mammalia; Primates; Hominidae.